UUUAAGUACAACCAUGAGUUUCCGCGCUCAACUUUGAUUGUCCGUCUUAUUUGAAUUUUUUUUUUAUAAUUAGUAUUUUUGUUGUUAUGAGAUGAUAAAACAUGAAUAGUAUUUUACUCAUGACUUAUGUUUUUAGUUUUUAAAAAUAAGACGGAUAAUAAAAGUUGAACGCGGAAAACCAUGGCUGCACUUAAA
This is a non-coding RNA of Oryza glaberrima (African rice), 195 nucleotides long. NCBI's taxonomy places the organism in Eukaryota, Viridiplantae, Streptophyta, Magnoliopsida, Poales, Poaceae. The record is from Rfam.